UGUUGACCUCGGAUCAGGUAGGAAUACCCGCUGAACUUAAGCAUAUCAAUAAGCGGAGGAAAAGAAACCAACCA
Molecule: ribosomal RNA, 74 nt
Filed under: Fusarium proliferatum
Lineage: Eukaryota; Fungi; Ascomycota; Sordariomycetes; Hypocreales; Nectriaceae
Description: partial 28S ribosomal RNA
Rfam family: Eukaryotic large subunit ribosomal RNA
Source: RNAcentral